Sapajus apella (tufted capuchin) is the source of this 1170-nucleotide long non-coding RNA. RefSeq lists it as uncharacterized. The record is from RefSeq and is a predicted model, not a curated record. NCBI's taxonomy places the organism in Eukaryota, Metazoa, Chordata, Mammalia, Primates, Cebidae. The transcript is spliced from 3 exons.
GCGCGCCCGAGGGCGGGGCGAGCGGUGGCGCGCGGCUGCCCGGCGUCCCUGAGCCGCUAGAGCCGGGCCUCGAAGCGCUUCCCCAGAGCCUUCCGCGCCUGGGAUUUGCGGGGAUCUCGCCAUGCUAUUUCUUGAGAUGGUACUUGUAUGCCUGAGAGACCAAAAUGCUGAUUCAGUUUACCUUCCUGGAAACUGUAAAACUAACCAAUCAGAGGAUCAGGUCAUUGAGUAGAAGAAGCUUGCCCAACCCAAAAUGCAUCUCUUUGAGAGGACCCAGUAGGAGAGAACUGCCCUUGAAAUGCUAAAAUGGGGAAAACAGCUUGAGAAUGUUAUGAGGCAAGACAGACUGACGUGAAAGAUAUUUUGAUCUCCAUGCACUUGGUGCCAACUCAAGGCCAAGUUAGGAAAACAGUCCACGAUGUACUGUAAAGUAAUACUGAAUGGAACAGGUGAGUUAAGAAUGGAGUAAGAAUGGAAAAGUGAGUCAGACAUAAAGUCACAACACCCUGAGUUUGUCCUCAAGAUAAUUAUCGGUGGCAUUAAUUGGCAAAUUUCUGUUGCUGUUUAAUUGUAAACUAAUUAAUGCUACAAAUAUUUGCAUUUUGUAGAGAGUACAUUACAAUGUUCUCAGUAUAAAACUAGAUGGGAAAGUGGAAUUUAGUUUUAAACUCCAACAUAUCUCUUAAAUCACUUACUUCUAUUUCAAGCAGGAGAGAAAAUUAUUGUGCAUGAAACCUAUAAUAAUUUAGAGUGUUUAUCAGGAAAAGGAGAGUGUUCUGCAAGUAAGGGCUUUAUUUAAAUUUACUAAGGGAGAGUGUAUUUACACUUCUAUGGCAAUUUUUCGAUAUGACUACUUUCUAACAAAUAUGAAAUCUUUCUUUUCCAAAUAGGUGAGUGGUUUAAAUCAGAGAACCUGUAUCAUGGUCUUUGAUUGUUGAUCCUGUUUUUACAUGGCCUUCAAACCAUCUCAGGUUCUUAAUUCUUAGCUUUUCCUUUCCAUAACUAUAAAAAUGGAAAUGAUAAAAUGCUGAAAGUUUUAAAUGUUUGUAUGUGUUUGUUUGCUUUGUUUUGGGAUUCCCAAUUAGACAUUUUUAUUUCUAUGAAAUAUUACUACACUGGGAACUUGAAAAUACAUGGGCAGAUUCAGGGGACAAUGCCAUAAAAAUGAAG